RNAcentral lists this unclassified non-coding RNA (229 nucleotides) under uncultured Ceratobasidiaceae. Its description in RNAcentral is "sequence contains ITS2". The record is from RNAcentral. Lineage: Eukaryota; Fungi; Basidiomycota; Agaricomycetes; Cantharellales; Ceratobasidiaceae. RNAcentral also lists the same sequence under 1 other name.
AAAUCUUCAAGAUAGAUCUUUCGUUCGUUCGAUUGAUUUCAUUUUGGACUUGGAGGUCUUGCAGAUUCUCAUGUCUGCUCCUCUCAAAUGCAUUAGCUGGAUCUCCGUGAGCCUCGGUUCCACUCGGUGUGAUAAGUAAUCGCUCGCUGAGGACACUGUAAAAAGUGGCUGGGCCCCAGGGAUGAACUGCUUCCAACCGUCCAUUGGCUUGGACGAUUGAACCUUUAUG